GUGAAUCAUCGAAUCUUUGAACGCAAAUUGCACUCUCUUCUGAUAUUAUGCCUGCUUGAGGGUCAGCCUAAACAAAAUCCACAUAGUCGCUUUUUCGCGGUGACAUUCGUCGGCACUUGUGUCCUCUUACACCUUUGGGUUUUAAGCGGCUUACAAUUUUCUUUACGAUUCCACGAACGUUUCUAAGAUUUACUUCUUCCCCGUUUAAGGUCCUCGCUCUUUAUUAGUCGUGUCCGUUGCAUCGGAUCGCGUCCCUAAAUCUUUCGUUAACUG
This 273-nucleotide unclassified non-coding RNA is filed under the name Glomus sp. RNAcentral's name for it is "partial contains 5.8S ribosomal RNA and internal transcribed spacer 2". Lineage: Eukaryota; Fungi; Glomeromycota; Glomeromycetes; Glomerales; Glomeraceae. The record is from RNAcentral.